GAAUUCGCCCUUAGAGUUUGAUCCUGGCUCAGGACGAACGCUGGCGGCGUGCCUAACACAUGCAAGUCGAACGGACUGAUACCCUUCGGGGUUGAAAGUUAGUGGCGAACGGGUGAGUAACGCGUGAGGAACCUGCCUUUCAGAGGGGGACAACAGUUGGAAACGACUGCUAAUACCGCAUGAUACAGUAGGAUCGCAUGAUUUUACUGUCAAAGAUUUUAUCGCUGAAAGAUGGCCUCGCGUCUGAUUAGAUAGUUGGUGGGGUAACGGCCUACCAAGUCGACGAUCAGUAGCCGGACUGAGAGGUUGAACGGCCACAUUGGGACUGAGAUACGGCCCAGACUCCUACGGGAGGCAGCAGUGGGGAAUAUUGGGCAAUGGGCGCAAGCCUGACCCAGCAACGCCGCGUGAAGGAAGAAGGCUUUCGGGUUGUAAACUUCUUUUACCAGGGACGAAGGACGUGACGGUACCUGGAGAAAAAGCCACGGCUAACUCCGUGCCAGCAGCCGCGGUAAUACGGAGGAUGCGAGCGUUAUCCGGAUUUAUUGGGUUUAAAGGGUGCGUAGGCGGAUGAUUAAGUCUGUGGUGAAAGCGUGCGGCUCAACCGUACCGAGCCAUGGAAACUGGUUGUCUUGAGUGUAAACGAGGUAGGCGGAAUGUGACAUGUAGCGGUGAAAUGCUUAGAUAUGUCACAGAACUCCGAUUGCGAAGGCAGCUUACCAGCAUACAACUGACGCUGAGGCACGAAAGCGUGGGUAUCAAACAGGAUUAGAUACCCUGGUAGUCCACGCAGUAAACGAUGAAUACUAGCUGUUGGCGAUAUAAGGUCAGCGGUACAGCGAAAGUGUUAAGUAUUCCACCUGGGGAGUACGCCGGCAACGGUGAAACUCAAAGGAAUUGACGGGGGCCCGCACAAGCGGAGGAACAUGUGGUUUAAUUCGAUGAUACGCGAGGAACCUUACCCGGGCUUGAAAGUUAGUGACGAACCUUGAAAGAGGUUUUCCCUUCGGGGCACGAAACUAGGUGCUGCAUGGUUGUCGUCAGCUCGUGCCGUGAGGUGUCGGCUUAAGUGCCUUAACGAGCGCAACCCCUGUUGUUAGUUGCCAGCAUGUAAAGAUGGGAACUCUAGCAAGACUGCUACUGUAAGGUAGAGGAGGGUGGGGAUGACGUCAAAUCAGCACGGCCCUUACGUCCGGGGCGACACACGUGUUACAAUGGUCGGUACAGAGGGUUGCUACCACGUGAGUGGAUGCUAAUCUCAUAAAACCGGUCUCAGUUCGGAUUGUAGUCUGCAACUCGACUACAUGAAGCUGGAAUCGCUAGUAAUCGUGAAUCAGAAUGUCACGGUGAAUACGUUCCCGGGUCUUGCACACACCGCCCGUCA
RNAcentral lists this ribosomal RNA (1384 nucleotides) under uncultured bacterium. RNAcentral's name for it is "partial 16S ribosomal RNA". It matches the Rfam family "Bacterial small subunit ribosomal RNA". The record is from RNAcentral.